GUUGAUAAGGUUAAGUGAAUAAGGGCGCACGGUGGAUGCCUUGGCACUAGGAGCCGAUGAAGGACGGGACUAACACCGAUAUGCUUUGGGGAGCUGUACGUAAG
RNAcentral lists this ribosomal RNA (104 nucleotides) under Enterococcus faecium. Its description in RNAcentral is "partial 23S ribosomal RNA". It matches the Rfam family "Bacterial large subunit ribosomal RNA", at positions 1 to 96 of the family's 2925-position model. The record is from RNAcentral. Lineage: Bacteria; Bacillati; Bacillota; Bacilli; Lactobacillales; Enterococcaceae.